UUUUUAAACUCACAACCAUUUUAUUCAUGCUUUAUAAUGAAAACACAGCUUAACUCACCUUCCCAUUGUGGCCCUUCAGAUUAAUGAUAUUCUCGAAAGAGAGGACCAAGUAAAUGUGGAUGACGUUUCCAUUUACAGCUGCAAACAUGUGUCCACCGUGGCUAAAAGCACACUAAGCCGCGCACAGUGAACUCCUUGAAGGUGCGGAUGUCAUCAAUGAGCAGGUUCAUCAGCCUCAGUUUGUCUGAGAAGCCAACCAGGAUGGAGAGGCCAGUGGGGUGCAGAGCCACGCUAUACGCCUCCUCCUGGAACUCCUUAUAAAGCUCCAACACUCUGGAGACAAGUCACAGUGAGAGGCAAUGAAGAGACAGCUGUACUUAGUAUGUGACUUACUGCCAUUUGAUUUAUGAGUGUCUGAAAAAACACUGAAAAGAAGACAUGCUGUCUUAAAUCAUGUUUGGAUCACAGUGCUGUUUGAUUUCUGGGCUUCUACAACAAAACCUCAGUCCUUUCUAAGCCAGGACUUUCUGUAAAUGACCUUUUUAAAAGGUAAAAAUGUAUCAAAACAUGUUUUCAUAUCUUUUCUAUCUGUCAUGCCUGUGAUUAAUGGUUUAAGUUUCUAUUUUCUUUGUGUUUACUGUUUGAACCGGUUGGGGCUUUUAUUUUGAAGUCUGGUUUGCCGCUGACGAGCUGGGUAACAGGUGGUAAGAAGAUAUAAACAAACGCUGGGAUAAUGAAUGAAGGUGUGGUAGAGUAGGCACUAAUCUUAAGGUCAGGUAUAGUGUCCUGCAAGAACAUGGGAAUAAGGGAUCGUUUUUACUGUCUUGGUUUGGUGUUUAAUGUGCUGAUGCUUUGUUCCCCUUGAAAGCUGAGAAGUGUGUAAUUGCGGUAGCCGCUCCCAGCUGACUCUCCCAGCCCUUUGUUAGCUGAGUCCGGUAGACCUUUGUUUUGUGUUUAUUGCCUUUAAAAUGCUUCUGAGGUAUCCCUGAUUUAUUGUAUUUUUGGUAUUUUAUAUAUAAAUAUAUCAAUGGUUUCUGUAUUUAAAUACUUUUAACUUGUCUUGUGUUUAUGUUGUAUUGUAAUUUCUUUGGUUAUGGUAAUGUUUCCAUUUAGUUUGUUUUCUUGUGCUGUGCAGCUCUUAGUGUGUUUGUUUUAUUGACAGCACUGAAUUAAAGAAGAUACAUCUGCUGAGAGUCAAACCACUCAUUCUUGCUGGGACUGCUACACUUUCAAUUACUCGCUCUUAAACUUUGUGAGAGAUAACUGUGCUUCAUGAAACUUCAAUAUGCAGUAAAAACAAUGUAGCCCACUUUGUUGUGUGUCGUGUGUGUGUGAUGGAGACAAUAUUGCCAAGGGCUUUGGUGUGAUUUUGUGACUCACUUUGUUUCAUAGUUCCAGAUGCGGACAGAGUGGUCCAGAGAGCUGGUGGCUACAAGGGGCUUUCGAACACAGAUGGAUAACCCAGUGAUGGACUUGGAGUGAAAGGACUGCGACAGGAACUCAAAAUGGUCCCCCUGAUGGAUUCAGAAACAAGCAACACAUGUCACAGUCACGAUAUGGAUUUAAAGUCUGUCCUUUCCAAUAAAGGCAAAGACGCC
Molecule: long non-coding RNA, 1598 nt
Organism: Notolabrus celidotus (New Zealand spotty)
Lineage: Eukaryota; Metazoa; Chordata; Actinopteri; Labriformes; Labridae
Exons: 3
Source: RefSeq, a predicted model, not a curated record